AACGAACGCUGGCGGCGCGUCUUAAGCAUGCAAGUCGAACGGCAAGAGAGGAGCUUGCUUCUCUCCUAGAGUGGCGGACUGGUGAGGAACACGUGGGUAAUCUACCCUUAAGAUGGGGAUAGCUGCUAGAAAUAGCAGGUAAUACCGAAUACACUCGGCAUAUCACAAGAGGUGUUGAGGAAAGGAAGCUACGGCUUCGCUUGAGGAUGAGCUUGCGUCCCAUUAGCUAGUUGGUGAGGUAAAGGCCCACCAAGGCAACGAUGGGUAUCCGGCCUGAGAGGGUGAACGGACACAUUGGGACUGAGAUACGGCCCAAACUCCUACGGGAGGCAGCAGCUAAGAAUAUUCCGCAAUGGACGGAAGUCUGACGGAGCGACGCCGCGUGGAUGAAGAAGGCUGAAAAGUUGUAAAAUCCUUUUGUUGAUGAAGAAUAAGGGUGAGAGGGAAUGCUCAUCUGAUGACGGUAAUCGACGAAUAAGCCCCGGCUAAUUACGUG
RNAcentral lists this ribosomal RNA (496 nucleotides) under uncultured Treponema sp. Its description in RNAcentral is "bacterial SSU rRNA". It matches the Rfam family "Bacterial small subunit ribosomal RNA", at positions 29 to 507 of the family's 1533-position model. Lineage: Bacteria; Pseudomonadati; Spirochaetota; Spirochaetia; Treponematales; Treponemataceae. The record is from RNAcentral.